UUUUCGUAGGUGAACCUGCGGAAGGAUCAUUAGUGAAUUUUUGGGAGUCCCUCUUAACCGGAGAAGGCCCAGUCCACUAUUUUACAAACCCUUUGUGCAUUUGUCCCUUUUUUAAUUACCUUUUUAACCCUUGUGCAUUUGAAACGGUUGUUGAUGUAAAUACUUUGAUUAUUGAAAGAAAAACUUUCAGCAAUGGAUCUCUUGGCUCUCGCAUCGAUGAAGAACGCAGC
RNAcentral lists this unclassified non-coding RNA (230 nucleotides) under uncultured fungus. Its description in RNAcentral is "sequence contains ITS1, 5.8S rRNA gene". The stretch from base 182 to 230 matches the Rfam family "5.8S ribosomal RNA", at positions 1 to 49 of the family's 154-position model. The record is from RNAcentral. Lineage: Eukaryota; Fungi.